AAGGAAAAAAGAGAGAGGGAGGGAGGGAGGGAGAGAGGGAAGGGGAGAGAGAGCAGGGAGGAGGGAGAGAAGGGAGAGAAAGAGGAGGAGGAGGUGGGGAAAGACCUGGCUGAAAUGACACGCACAUGCAUACACAUGCAUCCGGCAUCGGCAGCUGUGAGUGAGUCCAUGAGAGGCUGACAUUGACAUUCCCUCUGCAUCUCCUUGUCUUCUGGAGGCACAGAUGAGGGAAGGGUGAAAGGAGGCAAGAAGAGGCGGAGUGGAAUGGGAAGACACAGUCCUUGUCACGAAGGAGGCAUCUAUCUCGAUGGAUCAAGAGAAGUCGGGACCGGAGCCGAGCCGAGCCACAAAAAUAAGAAAUAUAUAGAUGUACAUAGCCUCUCCUCAAAGUUACUCAGCAAGAAUUCUGCUAAUUUCUGCUGUGAACAAAAGACAAACUUACAGGAAAGCAUCACAUCUCGUGUUCUGGCCUUUUUAUUUUAUUCAGAUCCUGAAGACAUUCUCAUUUCCUCUCAUAUAUCUGGGACAGCAUUUUAAAGAAAGGAACACCAUGUUUCCAUGCUGUCAAUUCUGUGGAAUUCUGUGGCUUUUCAGUAGUUCCAGAGUAAGGAAGACUCUCAUAAUCUGAACAAUGACUGCCAACCUUCUUUCCAGACAAAUGAAGUUGUGGACUCCUUUAUGGCUUGUGUCCAGCCAUAGUUCCUCCUGACCUUUCCAAGAAGGCCUCACAAAGACAUCUCUAAUUCAGUAGCACGCUUAUAAAGAGUAUAUUGACAACUUUAUCAGCAACGGAACAUGGAGAGCUCUUAAAACUUCAUACUUCAUUUAUGAAUGCUCAUUUCUAAGGACACUUCAGUAAUGACACCUUUAACAAUGCCUCUAACGUCCUUUUCAAUGGCACCUCUUCUCCUCAAAGAGAAAAUGCUGUCAGUUCUAUAGAACUACAAGUGGAUGUACCAGGAUAGCAACAUUUAUUGUACUCACUAUAUAUGUCUUGUGUGACAAUGAACGUCCAUGAGAGCCAUCAGCAUGUUAUGUCUCCAAUAGAUAACACAGGGUAAAAAAAUGAAAAUAAAAAAGAUUCUCUUAAUUCAAGCUCAAGAGAUCCAAGAUUCAACAAAUACUGGGUAAAAUGAGCAACUUUAUUUAAAUACGUUUCUUUUUGCCAUGAAUUUUUAAUUUCUCCAUAGACCAAGGCCAGGUCCAUCAAACAGCAUGUGUGCUGGUAGACGUCUCUAUUCUACUUGUCCUCCCACAGGGAAAAGAUAUUCAGGCAGCUAAUUAAGUACUAAAGGUCAUCAGCUUCUGGUCCAAUCAGAUCUAUUUUAUGGUACAUACCUCUACAAGUGCCUCAAGAUUAGGAGAAGUUAGGAUUCAAUAUCCCACCUUUCUUCCAGCCAGAUUGUAGCAGGCUUCAUGUGUACUUGCUCACAUUUGCUGGUUUCUGUCUCCAUCCAUUGUUCUUCCUUCUGGAUUGGCUUUUUCUCUACCAU
RNAcentral lists this long non-coding RNA (1493 nucleotides) under Anolis carolinensis (green anole). RNAcentral describes it as "lncRNA (ENSACAG00000037866.1)". The record is from RNAcentral. Lineage: Eukaryota; Metazoa; Chordata; Lepidosauria; Squamata; Anolidae.